GACGAACGCUGGCGGCGUGCCUAAUACAUGCAAGUCGAGCGAAGUUUUUCUGGUGCUUGCACUAGAAACACUUAGCGGCGAACGGGUGAGUAACACGUAAAGAACCUGCCUCAUAGACUGGGACAACUAUUGGAAACGAUAGCUAAUACCGGAUAACAGUAUUUCUCGCAUGAGAGAUAUUUAAAAGUUGGUUAUGCUAACACUAUGAGAUGGCUUUGCGGUGCAUUAGCUAGUUGGUGGGGUAAAGGCCCACCAAGGCGACGAUGCAUAGCCGACCUGAGAGGGUGAUCGGCCACACUGGGACUGAGACACGGCCCAGACUCCUACGGGAGGCAGCAAUAGGGAAUCUUCCGCAAUGGGCGAAAGCCUGACGGAGCAACGCCGCGUGAGUGAAGAAGGAUUUCGGUUCGUAAAGCUCUGUUGUUAGGGAAGAAUGGAUAUGUAGUAACUAUACAUGUAAGAGACGGUACCUAACCAGAAAGCCACGGCUAACUACGUG
RNAcentral lists this ribosomal RNA (499 nucleotides) under uncultured bacterium. RNAcentral's name for it is "partial 16S ribosomal RNA". It matches the Rfam family "Bacterial small subunit ribosomal RNA", at positions 28 to 507 of the family's 1533-position model. The record is from RNAcentral.